RNAcentral lists this ribosomal RNA (253 nucleotides) under uncultured bacterium. Its description in RNAcentral is "partial 16S ribosomal RNA". It matches the Rfam family "Bacterial small subunit ribosomal RNA", at positions 524 to 776 of the family's 1533-position model. The record is from RNAcentral.
UACGUAGGGUGCUAGCGUUGUCCGGAUUUAUUGGGCGUAAAGGGCUCGUAGGCGGUUUGUCGCGUCGGGAGUGAAAACUCAGGGCUUAACCCUGAGCCUGCUUCCGAUACGGGCAGACUAGAGGUAUGCAGGGGAGAACGGAAUUCCUGGUGUAGCGGUGAAAUGCGCAGAUAUCAGGAGGAACACCGGUGGCGAAGGCGGUUCUCUGGGCAUUACCUGACGCUGAGGAGCGAAAGUGUGGGGAGCGAACAGG